GUAAGUACAUAAGAGCACACAGGUGGAUACCUUGGCACGACAGGCGAUGAAGGACGUAGCAGGCUGCGAAAAGCCUGGGGGAGCUGCCAACAAGCGAUGAUCCCAGGAUAUCCGAAUGGGGCAACCCACGUGGCGUCAUGGUCACGUACUCCGCGAUGAAUACAAUAGUCGCGGUAGAGCAUACCCGGUGAACUGAAACAUCUAAGUAGCCGGAGGAAAAGACAUCAACCGAGAUUCCCGUAGUAGUGGCGAGCGAACCGGGAAGAGCCUAAACCCCGCACGUGUAAGCGUAGCAGCGUUGCGUGAAGGGGGGUUGCACGGCGAUCAUUCGAGGGUGCUGCACCUCGAGGUCAGUAAGAAAUCCGAUCGAAAGACGAAGCCGGCUGGAAAGCCGCACCAAAGACGGUGAUAGUCCCGUAAUCGAAUUCGUUCGGACUGACUCGAUCGUUCGUAAGUAGGGCGGGGCACGAGAAACCCUGUCUGAAUCUGGGGGGACCAUCCUCCAAGGCUAAAUAUUCUGUCGUGACCGAUAGCGCAUAGUACCGUGAGGGAAAGGUGAAAAGAACCCCCGAAGGGGAGUGAAAUAGAACAUGAAACCGUGUGCUUACAAACCGUGAAAGGCCAAUGCGCAAGCAAGGCUGAUCGCGUGCCUAUUGAAGAAUGAACCUGCGAGUUACGUGGUACAGGCUUGGUUAAGGUGAUGAGCCGGAGCCGCAGCGAAAGCGAGUCUGAAUAGGGCAAUUCGUCUGUAUCAGUAGACCCGAAACCAAGCGAUCUAUCCAUGAGCAGGCUGAAGCAUGAUUAACCUCAUGUGGAGGGCCGAACCUGUUGUUGUUGAAAAAACAUUGGAUGACUUGUGGAUAGGGGUGAAAAGCCAAUCGAGCUUGGAGAUAGCUGGUUCUCCCCGAAAUAGUUUGAGGACUAGCGUUGCGUAUUAAACCUUGGGGGUAGAGCACUGACAGGGCUAGGGGCCUUACCGGGUUACCGAACCCCAUCAAACUCCGAAUACCAGGGCGUAUCGCGCAGCAGUCAGACGGUGGGGGAUAAGCUCCAUCGUCAAAAGGGAAACAGCCCAGAUCAUCAGCUAAGGUCCCUAAUCGAUGCUCAGUGGUAAAGGAAGUCGUUUCGCACAGACAACUAGGAGGUUGGCUUAGAAGCAGCCACCCUUGAAAGAGUGCGUAAUAGCUCACUAGUCGAGUGAGGCGGCGCCGAAAAUGUAACGGGGCUCAAGCAUCGAACCGAAGCUAUGGGAUUACGCAAGUAAUCGGUAGGGGAGCGUUGUCGCGUAGGCUGAAGCCAGACCGUGAGGACUGGUGGACGAACGACAAGUGCGAAUGCAGGUAUAAGUAGCGAGAAAUGCGGGUGAGAACCCCGCACGCCGGAAGUCUAAGGUUUCCUGAGCUACGUCAAUCGUCUCAGGGUGAGUCGGGUCCUAAGCCGAGGCUGAGAAGCGUAGGCGAUGGCCAAGCCGUUCAUAUUCGGCUACCACCGACGUCAGUUUAGACUUCCUCGAACAGCGGCCGGCCACGAGCGAUCGUGGUCGUUUGGUGUUCGUUGAAGUCUAUGAAGUGAAGGGAUGACGCAGGAGGAUAGGUCAGCACACUAUCGGAUGUGUGUCGAAGCAGGUAGGGGGUCAGAUAGGCAAAUCCGUCUGGCAACUCCGAGAUGCGAGUGCGAGGACCCUUGUGGUCCGAAGUGAUUGACUCCACGCUGCCAAGAAAAGUCUCUAGCAAUGACAUAGGUGCCCGUACCGUAAACCGACACAGGUAGACUGGCAGAGCAUGCUAAGGCGACGGGAGAACCCCUGUUAAGGAACUCGGCAAAUUAACCCCGUAACUUUGGGAGAAGGGGUGCCCCUUUUGGUCUAGUCUUCACGACGAAAGCUGAGGGGGGUCGCAGUGAAUAGGCCCAAGCGACUGUUUAACAAAAACACAGGUCUCUGCGAACGCGAAAGCGGACGUAUAGGGGCUGACUCCUGCCCGGUGCUGGAAGGUUAAAAGGAGAGGUUAGCGCAAGCGAAGCUUUGAAUUGAAGCCCCAGUAAACGGCGGCGGUAACUAUAACCGUCCUAAGGUAGCGAAAUUCCUUGUCGGGUAAGUUCCGACCUGCACGAAUGGAGU
This 2119-nucleotide ribosomal RNA is filed under the name soil metagenome. Its description in RNAcentral is "bacterial LSU rRNA". It matches the Rfam family "Bacterial large subunit ribosomal RNA", at positions 1 to 2002 of the family's 2925-position model. The record is from RNAcentral.